RNAcentral lists this ribosomal RNA (666 nucleotides) under Euryopis flavomaculata. RNAcentral describes it as "partial large subunit ribosomal RNA". The stretch from base 362 to 666 matches the Rfam family "Eukaryotic large subunit ribosomal RNA", at positions 1 to 834 of the family's 3401-position model. Lineage: Eukaryota; Metazoa; Arthropoda; Arachnida; Araneae; Theridiidae. The record is from RNAcentral.
GUGGGCCCUCGAAAUCCUGUGGCGGGAGGAUUCAGUCGGAAGGCGUAGGCGGCACGGCCGAUGUGAUUUAGGUUCCGCUCACGGACCCUUUCGGCAGGUCGCUCUUUUGCUUGUACGACGCAUUUGAUUCCCGUCCGAAGGACGCCGCAACCGGUUGGGAGACGGCCUGAAAGCUCUGCGAUGACAGGUGGCCGGAUUGGACCCUCGGGUCUUCUCCGGUGACUGGUCGGCGGAGCGACGGCACGUAGCCCGACCGUGGUGUCGCAAGGCCCAACUUAGGGCUCUACCGUCUCCUCCUUUGCGUGACGCCGGACUGGUGGCAGCAGUGGAUGUCGGACUGCGGGCGCACGGACCCACUCCGUGGCCUGGCGGUCGAGAGUCCUCGGUGGCUGUCCGUGAUCCGUAGGAGGCUGACGGUUGGCGGCGAGUAGAUCGGUCACCCACCCGACCCGUCUUGAAACACGGACCAAGGAGUCUAACAUGUGUGCGAGUCAAUGGGUCUCGAAUAAGCCCAGAGGCGCAAUGAAAGCAAAGGUCGGACUCGACGCCGACUGAGUUGGGAUCCCUGGCCUUCGGGUCGGGGCGCACCAACGACCCGUCCUCUCCGACUUGUCGGUUGGGCGGAGUUGGAGCAUACACGUUGGGACCCGAAAGAUGGUGAACUAU